This 1408-nucleotide long non-coding RNA is filed under the name Homo sapiens (human). Its description in RNAcentral is "HSALNT0122452". The record is from RNAcentral. Lineage: Eukaryota; Metazoa; Chordata; Mammalia; Primates; Hominidae.
CGCCCGGCCACGAGUGCUGCUCUGUUUUCAAGGAGCCGCCUCUGCCAGCUGCUCCUCUCCAGGCCUUCUCCAACGAUCUGCCCACUAAAAGGUGAAAACAACAAAAACAAAAACAAAUUUUCCCACAAAAUCAAUUUCUUACAUCACAAAUUUAAUGAGCAUGAUUAUAGCUUGACUGAUGGAAAAUAAGUAAGCAGGGUCUUCUACCAUAAUUCAUUAGCUAAUGCAUGUUAUGCAUGCAUGUAUAUAUGUGUGCCCACUUUGUUCCAGACAGGAUUCAAAAUCACUUACAAAGGAAAAUACGAUACUUUAGUUAAUUGAUUCUCUGGCUUUUCUUGGAAAUUUGCAUUCUUCUUUAGAAUAUAAAGUGCUGGAUUGGCAGCAGAAGAAAACGAGAACAGAACCCCCCUUACCUGCUGCAGGGUUUGGACAGGCUGCUAGGCCUCAGGUUCUCCUGCUGAAUGAACCCUUUGUACCAUCUGUGCAUAACUGACCGGGGCCAGGAGGAACUAUGGAAAUGCUGCCUCAGCCCGAAUGUCAAUUCUACAUUCCAGCAGAAUGUCUCAAACAUCACAUGUACUUUAAGGGAAUUCAGUUUUCAACCAGCUCCUACAUGACAUCCACCUGCCUUAGCCUCCCAAAGUGCUGGGAUUGCAGGCAUAAGCCACCGCGCCAGGCCGAGUGAGCCUUCUUGCACGGUGUGUCUUCUUGCCCUUUGACCUUCUUCAUCAUGUAUGUUAUGAUGCAGCACAAAAGCUCUCACCAGAAACCAGGGCCAUGCUCUUGAACUUCUCAGCCUGCAGAACUGUGAGCUAAAUAAACCUCUUUUCUUUAUACAUUACCCAGACUCAAGUAUUCUGUUUUAGCGACACAAAAUAGACUAUGAUGGAAGAUUGGUAUUGAGCAGUGGGGUCUUUUUAUAAAGGUACUUGAAAAUGUGGAAGCCAGUGUGGAACUGGGAAAUGGCCACAGGUUGAAAGAGUUUGGAGGAGCUGGCUAGAAAAGCACUGCAUUGCCCUGAAGUGGGCAUUAAGGAUAAUUCUGGUGAGGGCCCAAAGAAGACAAAGAGAUUAGGGUAAGUUUGGAAUUUCUUGGAGACUAGUUAAGUUAUUGUGACCAAAAUGUUUAUAGAAUUAUGGACAGUAAAGGCCAUUCUGAUAAGGUCACAGAUGGAAAUGGGAAGUAUCUAUUUGGAAACUGGAACAAAGGUCACACUUGUUACAAAUAUUUGUAUUUAUGCCCUAAGGCUUUAUGGAAGGUUGAACUUAAGAGGGAUGACCUAAGAUAAUCUGGCGGAUGAAAUUUCUAAGCAGCAAAUCACUCAAGAAGUGGUGUGGUUACUUUCAACAGCUUAUGCUCAGUUAUGGCAGCAAAAGAAUGACCUGAAGGCAGAAUUUACAAUUAAAAG